This 229-nucleotide ribosomal RNA is filed under the name uncultured bacterium. RNAcentral describes it as "partial 16S ribosomal RNA". It matches the Rfam family "Bacterial small subunit ribosomal RNA", at positions 568 to 796 of the family's 1533-position model. The record is from RNAcentral.
CGCGUAGGCGGCCUUGUAAGUCAGAUGUGAAAGCCCGGGGCUUAACCCCGGAAGUGCAUUUGAAACUACAGGGCUUGAGUAUGGGAGAGGGAAGUGGAAUUCCUGGUGUAGAGGUGAAAUUCGUAGAUAUCAGGAGGAACAUCUGUGGCGAAGGCGACUUCCUGGACCAAUACUGACGCUGAGGCGCGAAGGCGUGGGGAGCAAACAGGAUUAGAUACCCUGGUAGUCC